RNAcentral lists this ribosomal RNA (116 nucleotides) under Chondracris rosea. Its description in RNAcentral is "partial 16S ribosomal RNA". Lineage: Eukaryota; Metazoa; Arthropoda; Insecta; Orthoptera; Acrididae. The record is from RNAcentral.
AAGAAUUUAAAGGUCGAACAGACCUAAAUAAUGGGCUCCUGCACCCAAAUUUUUUCUUAAUCCAACAUCGAGGUCGCAAUCUGCUUUGUCGAUAUGAGCUCUCAAAAACAAUUACG